This 505-nucleotide long non-coding RNA is filed under the name Ursus americanus (American black bear). RNAcentral's name for it is "lncRNA (ENSUAMG00000017130.1)". Lineage: Eukaryota; Metazoa; Chordata; Mammalia; Carnivora; Ursidae. The record is from RNAcentral.
UGAGGCCCAGAAAUGCCCUAUAAAUAGUACAUACAUUACACUUCAAUCCAGUGUCGCCCUGGUGUGGCACGGGCCUCCUGCUCUUCGGCCACUCAAGUCCCGUGCCUGCCUCUCGCCCUCUCCACCCCUCCUGAUCCGAUGACCACAGCUCCGUGUCUGCAUCUCUGAGUCCAGGCUUCCCGUGGCCGACUGGAGACGAUCCUAGGGACAAAGUGAAUUCCCCAGGAACCGGAGAAGAGAGAGCGAGCCUGCGAGCCUGCACGGGAGCCCGAGACGCACCCACGCACCAAGGAAGAAACAGACACUCCCCAAGAUAAAGGGAGAGACUCCAGCGAAGCAGAGACCCGAGCCACAGAGAAGCCUGCGCAGGGAGCCGGAGACGCACAGAAGGACAGAGGAAUGGAGAGGUUUCCAUUUCUCUUGAAUGGAGACAAAAAAGAUACAGAAUGGGCAAACAAAUAUAGCAAACCUCUGGUUUCUUGUUGUAUUUUAUUAAAUCUUGGGU